ACCGGCCCUCAUCGACGCCGAUUUGGCAUACUCGCUCAGCGUAGUCGGUCAACAAAGGAGCCAAAAGCAUGUUUUACCGACAGCUGCUGUUCAGAUCUCUUGUAGCUUUUCAGCAACAAUUUGGGAAAUAACUUUU
Salmo trutta (river trout) is the source of this 136-nucleotide small nucleolar RNA. The record is from Ensembl. Lineage: Eukaryota; Metazoa; Chordata; Actinopteri; Salmoniformes; Salmonidae.